UUUUAGCUACUAAAGUAUUGUAGUCGCCAUAUAUUACAAUUGGCGACCAAAUUUCCAUUUAGUCGCUGUUUAAUAGAAGUUUAGGCUACUAACAUUUAAUUUUGUCGCCAUAUUGUAUCAUUUGGCGACUAAACACUUUUUGUCGCCAAAAAAAGGGCAUUUUUGUGAUUACUUUUUGCGACCAAAUCUGGUUUAGUUGUUGUUUAUUCAGUAUUACCGACGAAUUUUUUUAUUUAGUAGCCAAAGAGGGAUCUUUAGCUGACCAAUUGUUUGCCGCCGUUAAGGUUUUUGGCGACAAAUAAUCGUUUAGUCGCCAAAUGUUCGAAAAAAUUUUUAGAGGGAAAAUAAGUAAUUUCGCACCCAGUACAUAUAUAUUACACAUAUUUUUUUUGUUCUCUUCUGUCUCACACACCGACAUCAACAUACCAAACCCGUCCCUACCAAACCCGUCGCUCACCACCGGCGAUCAUCACCGUCGCAGGCCACCGGCGCUCGCCACGACCACCACUGCAAAUCGGCGAUCAGCACUACCGGCCAUCAUCACCAUCGCAGGUUUUACCAUGGUUAUGACAACUAUAUGACUUAUGCUUUUCCGCAUGAUGAACUAAAGCCUCUAGCCAAAACAUUCACCGACUCCCUUGUCCAGCUACGAAAUUUGAAGCUUGAACAUUUGCCACAACAGCAUCAUGGAUCUGCCCUCACACUUGUAGAAUCGCUAUCCAGCCUUGUUAUCAUUGGGGAACAACACAGAAUUUGAAACGGGCUGUUCUUUGGCUUCCUGAAAAUCUAACUUUUCAUGUUGAUGCGAGGAUACAUCUUCUUCAGUGCAACAUAAGAGUUCUUGGAGGACUUGUUUCUGCUCAUAUUCUUGCAACUGAUUCUACAAACAACUUGGUCCAAAGAAAUUAUAAGAAUCAACUUCUUAUCCUGCCAUAAGAUUUACGGCCGCGCUUUCUACCUGCUUUUGAUACCCCCACUGGAU
Molecule: non-coding RNA, 982 nt
Organism: Camellia sinensis
Lineage: Eukaryota; Viridiplantae; Streptophyta; Magnoliopsida; Ericales; Theaceae
Source: RefSeq, a predicted model, not a curated record